GAGUGGCGCACGGGUGCGUAACGCGUAUGCAACACUACCUUUUUCAGGGGGAUACCCCGAAGAAAUUCCGGUUUAAGACCCGCAUAAAAACACAGGAUACCAUUAUCCAAUGUUCAAAUAUUUAUAGGAUUAAGAUGGGCAUGGGUGACAUUAGUUAGUUGGCGGGGUAACCGGCCACCAAGACCACGAUUUCUAGGGGAUUUGGGAGGAUGACCCCCCACAUUGGUAUUGAGACACGGACCAGAUUCCUACGGGAGGCAGCAGUAGGGAAUAUUGGUCAAUGGAGGCAAUUUUGAACCAAGCCAUGCCGCGUGCAGGAUGACGGCCUUCUGGGUUGUAAACUGCUUUUAUUCCGGGAAUAAACCUACUUAACGUGUAAGUUGCUGAAUGUACCGAAGGAAUUAGAGAUCGGCUAACUCCGUGCCAGCAGCCGCGGUAAUACGGAGGAUCCAAGCGUUAUCCGGGUUUUUUGUGGUUUUAAAGGGUGCGUAUGCGGCUUUUUAAGUCAGGGGUGAAAGACGGUAGCUCAACUAUCGCAGUGCCCUUGAUACUGAAGAGCUUGAAUGAACUAGAGGUAGGCGGAAUGUGACAAGUAGCGGUGAAAUGCAUAGAUAUGUCACAGAACACCGAUUGCGAAAGGCAGCUUACUAUGGUUUAAUUGACGCUGAGGCACGAAAGCGUGGGGAUCAAACAGGAUUAGAUACCCUGGUAGUCCACGCCCUUAAACGAUGAAUACUCGCUGUUAGCGAUACACAGUUAGCGGCUAAGCGAAAGCGUUAAGUAUUCCACUCUGGGGAGUACGUUUGCAAGAUUGAAAUUCACAGGAAUUGACGGGGGCCGCCCCAAGCGGAGGAGCAUGUUGUUUAUUCGGUGAUACGCGAGGACCUUAACCCGGGCUUGAAAGUUAGUGAAUCCUUAAGAGAUAGAUGAGUCCGCCAGGACACGGAACUAGGUGCUGCAUGGUGUCGUCAGCUCGUGCCGUGAGGUGUUGGGUUAAGUCCCGCAACGGAGCGCCACCCCUAUUUUUAGUUUCCAGCACGUUUUGGUGGGGACUCCUAAACAGACUGCCUGUUCCACCAGAGAGGAAGGAGGGGACGACGUCAAUUUAUCCUGGCCUUACGUUCGGGGGCUACACACUUUCUACAAUGGAUGGUUCAGAGGCAGCAAGCUGGGACAGCAAGCCACUCUCCAAAAGCCCUUCCCUAGUUCGGAUAGAGGUCCUGCAACUCGACCCUCUUGAAGUUGGAUUCGCUAGUAAUCGCAUAUCAGCAAUGAUGCGGUGAAUACGUUCCCGGGGCUCUUGUACACACCGCCCGUCAAGCCAUGGAAGUUGGGGGUACUCUAAAGUAUGUAACCGCAAGGAG
Molecule: ribosomal RNA, 1364 nt
Filed under: Sphingobacterium sp. S3
Lineage: Bacteria; Pseudomonadati; Bacteroidota; Sphingobacteriia; Sphingobacteriales; Sphingobacteriaceae
Description: 16S ribosomal RNA
Rfam family: Bacterial small subunit ribosomal RNA
Source: RNAcentral